This 27-nucleotide non-coding RNA is filed under the name Homo sapiens (human). Lineage: Eukaryota; Metazoa; Chordata; Mammalia; Primates; Hominidae. The record is from RNAcentral.
UGGGAAGUUUUGAGGUAGGGCCCUUGC